Molecule: long non-coding RNA, 5119 nt
Organism: Bos taurus (domestic cattle)
Lineage: Eukaryota; Metazoa; Chordata; Mammalia; Artiodactyla; Bovidae
Source: Ensembl
ACAGCCCUGCUAACAUUGCACACCUGGUUAAGGCAGACAAGAACUGAAAUAUCUUUCUACCUGAAUUUGCAGGGCUGAGGGGGAGAAUCUUAAAAGCUCGAGUGUAAUGACCUUACAUGAGAAUUUGAACCCAAAAUGAAGAGUUAAAACUUGCCUCAUAAUAAAAGAUGGAUAAAGCCAUUAUUAUCAAAGAGAGGGUCUGCCAGGCACCGGGCUAGGGUAUGUCUUUGAGGUGGAGAGGAACGCUGCCUCCUAUAGCAUUAUUGAGGGUCCCAAGUACAGGGUGAUUUCUCUUCUGUGUAGACCCAAGCCGAAUCACUCCAGGAAUAUUGGCAAGAGCCGGUGGUGGGCUGCAGCAGUUGUGUGGAAGCGGUCAGUGACCCCAUAGAAAGAUGAGCUUUGGGCAAGCACAGACAGGAAGGGUGAAUGAACCCUGAUGGUUUAGCAAAGCAAGGGCCAGGUAGUUACAGUAAGAGGUGGUCUUGUCCCGUUCAGUGCUCUGUUAAUUAUCCAUGUGAGCAGGAAUUGUUUCUCUGGAGCAGUUACUGAUACAAACAGUUAAUGAAACUCCAUCUGUAUAGCGGCUUCCAAGUGGGAGUGCAGGCUGAAUUCAUUAGUUUCACAUGUUCAGUUUUUUUUUUUUUUUCUGAAGCCAGGAGAAAACCCACAGUCCAAACAAACAGCAUUUGUAAAGUUCUGAAAAGACACUGCUACUGGAAAUGAGGAGAUGGGGGGAAAAAUGAAUAAAUGCUUUCAAGCAAACGCUACUUUCUUUAAAAUGAAAAACAAUGGUAAAGGCUUCCAUAUGUAAUUAAAAUCUCAUCCUUGAAGUUACAUUGCCACUGGCUCCCAAAGAACUCAAUUAACAGGAAACUGCAAAGAAUAUGGUAUUUUCUUCAAGAUACUUUAAGAAGUACUACUAAGAAGACAAUAGGUUGGAGAGUAGCUUUUACCACUAAAUGAUAAGCAAUUAUUGUUCCUUCCAGGGUAGAAGAAAAGGGAGUAUGCUAAGAAAAGUAGGUUUAUAAUAUAAAAUUAGAUUUUCAAGUGUGCAUAUUUACCCCUAGACCUAAGCUGAAAAUGAAACGUUUGUGCAAAGUCCAAACUUGACUAAGAAAAUUCUUUAAAAAUAUACCACAACCCCUCCCCUCCCCCACCAUUCAGCCUAUUUCACCUGAGAAAGGAAAGGCAUUCCCUACAUGCGCACUCGACUGAGGUCUCCUUGUUCAGAGACUUUCUUAAAACUGAAGAUGGAACGCAGUCCUGAGGACCACCUCGCUCCUCAAAGUCAGUUUCUAGGAGCCCUGGAUACUAUUUAAUUUCAAAGUAUUGAAUGAGGCUUCCAUGGUAUGUGGUGAUGGUAAAAAGAAGAGGGGAUAACUUUUGUCACUCUGCAUGUUAGUGAAGUUGACAACCAAGCCUGGCAGCAGUUUGUGACUUGACCAAACCCUGCUUCAGGUGUCUGCCUCUUGGAGUUGCUAAAAAUUGGCUCUUGGAAAUUUAGCAUCUAAAACAAGCGGCUGCAGAGCCCGGGCACUGACAGACUGGAGGUUUUCUCACCUUGCCGAAGGUGGACCACCAUCCACACCUGGGAAGAGGCAAAUGGCAGCACAGCUAUCAGAGCUAAUGAGCAAAAGCGGGGACACCUGGGAUCAAAAAAUUAAAUUAUAAAUAAAUAAAUACCAGCAAACUAUCUGUUCGUCUCUACCUGGGAGGACCUAGGAAGGCUAAAUAGCACCUUCAUUUCUGGACUUUCCCUUUGAUCACAGCAGCAGACCCUGGGAAUUAUCCCUUCUUUUCUUACAGGUUUUUUAUUUUUUAUUUUUUUUCUUGGUCCUUAAUGGAGAUCUUGAACUGCAGAGCUGCCGUGUCAGAACUCAGAUGGUUAACAUUCACUUCUCGCUGUUUUAUUGCAUAUUACUGUGCGCGCCCGAGCAGCAGGAGCAGAUUCGGGCAAUUACAAUCAAGUCAGGGCACACGCCGCGGCGGGGCAACACGAGCAUGAUGAGGGUACUGAUGAGGCACUUAUCGAAAACCCCACAUCAUCCACACUCAUCAGCCACAACAUGUCACCCCAAAUGAGGCAUCAGCUGCCUUCAAAAGGCUCAGUGCACAGUGUUUACCGCUUUCCUCGGACCCGCUUUUGAUUUUACGGUCAGAGCUGGGUUCAAACAGCAGCUGUCUGGCAAAGACAGGUCUCCAGCUUCUAGCAGCCUCCCCCCACCCCCACCUCCAGAGUCCUUGGGGCUUUGUCUGGGAAGCUAUGGGAGCAGGUCCUGGCAGGGAGAGGGGACGUGGGAAGGCAGAGAAGUGUCCAGUUCCGUUUCUCUCUCCAAGAGGAAUCCCUUCCCCAGAAGGGGCCCUUGAUUAAUUUCAAGGACUAGCACACAGUGGUGGCAUAAGGGGGUGGGGGAGGAGAGAAGCCAAAGAAGGAGCUUUUACAGAUCUCCUUAAAAUAGUAACAGGGUGGGUGGGACCUCUCACUGCAGACUGAAGUCCUAGAAAGGUCAACCCAUUUGGCAAAGACAUAUCCAACCAGGAGAGCUGUUUAAGUGACUUUUCAGCACCCACCUCCCAUACCCACUAGUGCGUGCCACCUCAGCUAUCCAAAGCAGUGGGAAGAAAGGACAGCACAUGGCUUCGAGCCUGACAUGUUGAACUGCAAGAUUCCACUCCUGACGCCAGAAUUUGUCAAGAGGACCGCAUUGUUGUUUCUCACUGAGGCAUAGGACUGACUGCGGGCCAUUGUUUCUCCAGCUCAAGUGGGCCUGUCUGGUUCGUGUUGGAAGAAUAGGGGCGACAUGCGUGAGUUCCCAAGUAUAAAGGAACUACCGGUUCUAGAAAGACACGGGAGUUUAGCCACUAAUGCAGAGUAAAUAAACAUUUUUCACCACCUCUUGCUCCCUGUGAUUUUUUUUUUUAAAGGUCAAGAGCUGCCAUUACAGUAUUUUAAAAGCUUCAAAUUAUGUUUAAAGCACGUAUCACUAAACUCACAGAAACCUUAUCAGAAUUUGGGAACCCACUGUGAUUGUUUGGUCCUUGAGUUUUAUCAUCACUGGAAGGCAGACUGUAAAAGGAAUGCAGAUGCCCUGUCGCUUCUAAUAUCCUGCAAUUUGCACAAAGUGAAUGUGGCUCAAGCCCUUCCACAUUUCCCUCAAAAUACUGCAAGUAUGGAGACUGGUCAGUUUCAAAUCUUCCUAAGGUCCAUGUUGCAGGUCACACAUUCUAGACAGAUAAGAGUAAGCCUUUGGGAACCUUUCAUGAUGAGCAUGUUCAAAAUGCAAAGAACGGGUCAUGUUCCUGGAAAAUCUCCAACUGUGUGUGCGAAAGAGAGAGUAAAAGGCAGAGGGAGAUUUCUUUUUUAAAUUAAAGAAUAAAAAGCUUACUUCAAGAAAGUGUAGAGUCACAGCAGAAAGACUUCCUCAGCAACUGAGGUUUACAGAUUUCAAAUUAGGAGCCCUUAGAUCACGGCUGCUAGGCUAAAAAUCAAUUCUAUAUUUUCCGAGUUAAUACGAAGGAUUGCACUUAACAGACACGGAGACUAAUAAGGUAUGCAGAAGGAGUAAAAGCAGCACACACACACACACAAAUUCAGGCCUUAGUUUUGGCCAUGAUCCAGCACAAUGAUGUUUCAACCAGAUUUGAAAAAAAAAUCAAUAACAUCUGUGGUAUAAUGGUUAAUUAAAGCAGCUCUUCAACAGAGCUCAGGAGGAGAGGCUCGGCCUGAAAUUCAGACAGCUGAAGCUUGAUUAUCAGGAAAGAAUGCUUUUUUAGCUAUGAGUGGAUAGGCCAAAAGCUGCAAUGUGCUGAAAUGGGGAGAAAAAUUGCUUUUAUUUUAACUUUCUUUAAGUAAUCAAUACAUGCUUUUCACCUGUAUUAGGCCACUGCUCAGCUCCAAAGCCUGUUACUCCACUUCAGCAUAAAUUCUAGCUACUGUCUUCUGAACCUUAGGUUUAAAAAGGAGCCCUAGUCUCUGAAAAGCAAAAGCAGCAAAAGAAAAGAAUAUGCAGGUAUGGUUGUAUGUCCUUGAGAGUGGUUAAAGCCAGGCUCUGAGAUAGUUCGAAGAGUUUAAUCCGUAAGCUAUGAGCAAAGCUGACCUAACCUUCGGUUAUACAGAGGUCACAGCCAGAGUAUGAAGGGCGCACAAUAAAAUGACUAAAAAUUCUCCAGGAGAUGAUAAAGGACAGGGUCAAAUUUCCCCCUUCUUUUUCUCUUCCUGUUGUUCUGAGUUCCGCACUAGGGAUGUUUACCUUUUUAAGGACAAAGGCCAAAGAAUUAACAACGAUGUCUUCUGGCCAUAGAUGGCAAGAUAUUGUUCCUGGACAGUGGAAUCUGCAUCUUCACAUCACUUGUCAAAUUUUGAGAAGCACUUGCAAAACCAUACGGCUCUCUCCAGAUGACACAAACCUCACAAGAAAACCAACAAAUAAUACAGCUUGCCAAUCAGUCAUUUAUUUUUUCAUUCAAGUUUUUAUCAGUGCCAGGUAUCUAUCCACCGCUGUGUGGGGUGUCAAGGUUCCAAAGACUAGUAAGAGAUGGCUCUUGACUCACAAAGCUCAUUGCCUGUUUGCGGGGUGUGUGCGUGUGAACAAAUAACUGCAAACACACUGGAAAAGAGCUUGAAUAGAAGGGUCAACAAGAGCUACAAAUUUUGAAACUCUUUUCCACCAACUGUGCUCAGAAAGGGGCAAAGUGAGGGUUUGGGAACUUCAGCAGGGAAUGAUACUAGAGCAGAAUCUUAGAGGAUGAGGAAGAAUUUCCAGGCAGACAAGGGAGAAUGGAAAGCAGGGAAGACAUUCAGAAUUAUGUAUACUUCCUGGUGGCUCAGAUGGAAAAGAAUCUGCCGGCAAUGCAGGAGACCUGGAUUUGAUCCCUGGGUCAGGAAGAACCCUUGGAGAAGGGAAUAGCUACCCAAUCCAGUAUUCUUGCCUGGAGAAUCACAUGGACAGAGGAGCCUGGCAGGCUAUAGUCCAUGAGGUGGCAAAGAGUCAAACACGACCAAGCAAUUAACACUUUCACAUGUGAAAUUGCAAGGAUUAGUUAGUUCAGAAGAAUAUAUAUGAAAAAAGUGAUACAAAUGUCUUAUAAAAUCUUCAUAAUUAAUCUUUAUAUUUUACAU